UACACAUGCAAGUCGAGCGGAAACGAUCCUAGCUUGCUAGGAGGCGUCGAGCGGCGGACGGGUGAGUAAUGCAUAGGAAUCUGCCCGGUAGUGGGGGAUAACUUGAGGAAACUCAAGCUAAUACCGCAUACGCCCUACGGGGGAAAGCAGGGGCUCUUCGGACCUUGCGCUAUCGGAUGAGCUUAUGUCGGAUUAGCUGGUUGGUGAGGUAACGGCUCACCAAGGCGACGAUCCGUAGCUGGUCUGAGAGGAUGAUCAGCCACAUCGGGACUGAGACACGGCCCGAACUCCUACGGGAGGCAGCAGUGGGGAAUAUUGGACAAUGGGGGCAACCCUGAUCCAGCCAUGCCGCGUGUGUGAAGAAGGCCCUCGGGUUGUAAAGCACUUUCAGCGAGGAAGAAUGCUUGUCGGUUAAUACCCGGCAAGGGAGACAUCACUCGCAGAAGAAGCACCGGCUAACUCCGUGCCAGCAGCCGCGGUAAUACGGAGGGUGCGAGCGUUAAUCGGAAUUACUGGGCGUAAAGCGUGCGUAGGCGGCUUGAUAAGCCGGUUGUGAAAGCCCCGGGCUCAACCUGGGAACGGCAUCCGGAACUGUUAGGCUAGAGUGCAGGAGAGGAAGGUAGAAUUCCCGGUGUAGCGGUGAAAUGCGUAGAGAUCGGGAGGAAUACCAGUGGCGAAGGCGGCCUUCUGGACUGACACUGACGCUGAGGUACGAAAGCGUGGGUAGCAAACAGGAUUAGAUACCCUGGUAGUCCACGCCGUAAACGAUGUCGACUAGCCGUUGGGGUCCUCGAGACCUUUGUGGCGCAGUUAACGCACUAAGUCGACCGCCUGGGGAGUACGGCCGCAAGGUUAAAACUCAAAUGAAUUGACGGGGGCCCGCACAAGCGGUGGAGCAUGUGGUUUAAUUCGAUGCAACGCGAAGAACCUUACCUACCCUUGACAUCGUGCGAACUUUCCAGAGAUGGAUUGGUGCCUUCGGGAGCGCACAGACAGGUGCUGCAUGGCUGUCGUCAGCUCGUGUUGUGAAAUGUUGGGUUAA
RNAcentral lists this ribosomal RNA (1042 nucleotides) under Halomonas elongata. Its description in RNAcentral is "bacterial SSU rRNA". It matches the Rfam family "Bacterial small subunit ribosomal RNA", at positions 50 to 1083 of the family's 1533-position model. Lineage: Bacteria; Pseudomonadati; Pseudomonadota; Gammaproteobacteria; Oceanospirillales; Halomonadaceae. The record is from RNAcentral.